RNAcentral lists this ribosomal RNA (253 nucleotides) under uncultured bacterium. Its description in RNAcentral is "partial 16S ribosomal RNA". It matches the Rfam family "Bacterial small subunit ribosomal RNA", at positions 524 to 776 of the family's 1533-position model. The record is from RNAcentral.
UACGAAGGGGGCUAGCGUUGUUCGGAUUUACUGGGCGUAAAGCGCACGUAGGCGGAUCUUUAAGUCAGAGGUGAAAUCCCAAGGCUCAACCUUGGAACUGCCUUUGAUACUGGGGAUCUUGAGUCCGGGAGAGGUGAGUGGAACUGCGAGUGUAGAGGUGAAAUUCGUAGAUAUUCGCAAGAACACCAGUGGCGUAGGCGGCUCACUGGCCCGGUACUGACGCUGAGGUGCGAAAGCGUGGGGAGCAAACAGG